This 253-nucleotide ribosomal RNA is filed under the name uncultured bacterium. RNAcentral's name for it is "partial 16S ribosomal RNA". It matches the Rfam family "Bacterial small subunit ribosomal RNA", at positions 524 to 776 of the family's 1533-position model. The record is from RNAcentral.
UACGUAGGUGGCAAGCGUUGUCCGGAAUUAUUGGGCGUAAAGAGCUCGUAGGCGGUUUGUCGCGUCUGCCGUGAAAGUCCGGGGCUCAACUCCGGAUCUGCGGUGGGUACGGGCAGACUAGAGUGAUGUAGGGGAGACUGGAAUUCCUGGUGUAGCGGUGAAAUGCGCAGAUAUCAGGAGGAACACCGAUGGCGAAGGCAGGUCUCUGGGCAUUAACUGACGCUGAGGAGCGAAAGCAUGGGGAGCGAACAGG